Small nuclear RNA from Eptesicus fuscus (big brown bat), 139 nucleotides. RefSeq annotates it as U4 spliceosomal RNA. The transcript has a single exon. The record is from RefSeq and is a predicted model, not a curated record. Lineage: Eukaryota; Metazoa; Chordata; Mammalia; Chiroptera; Vespertilionidae.
AGCUUUGUGCAGUGGCAAUACUGUUAGCCAAUGAGGUUUAUCCAAGGCGCGAUUAUUGCUAAUUGAAAGAAAAAGAUAAUACAACCGCCAACACAACAAUAGCUGUCUGGUGUGAAUGAAUCAAAAUUAUACCAAUUUU